UGACCACUUCUUUAGUGAGGUGAAGGCCAUACGGACAGCCGGGUCAAAUGCCGA
Molecule: small RNA, 54 nt
Filed under: Fusibacter sp. 3D3
Lineage: Bacteria; Bacillati; Bacillota; Clostridia; Eubacteriales; Fusibacteraceae
Description: Fusibacter sp. 3-D3-R-P8ASC2010 Streptococcus sRNA SpF59 (ldcC RNA)
Rfam family: Streptococcus sRNA SpF59 (ldcC RNA)
Source: Rfam by way of RNAcentral